AUUGAACGCUGGCGGCAGGCCUAACACAUGCAAGUCGAGCGGAUGAAGGGAGCUUGCUCCUGGAUUCAGCGGCGGACGGGUGAGUAAUGCCUAGGAAUCUGCCUGGUAGUGGGGGAUAACGUCCGGAAACGGGCGCUAAUACCGCAUACGUCAUGAGGGAGAAAGUGGGGGAUCUUCGGACCUCACGCUAUCAGCUGAGCCUAGGUCGGAUUAGCUAGUUGGUGGGGUAAAGGCCUACCAAGGCGACGAUCCGUAACUGGUCUGAGAGGAUGAUCAGUCACACUAGAACUGAGACACGGUCCAGACUCCUACGGGAGGCAGCAGUGGGGAAUAUUGGACAAGGGGCGAAAGCCUGAUCCAGCCAGGCCGCGUGUGUGAAGAAGGUCUUCGGAUUGUAAAGCACUUUAAGUUGGGAGGAAGGGCAGUAAGUUAAUACCUUGCUGUUUUGACGUUACCAACAGAAUAAGCACCGGCUAACUUCGUG
Molecule: ribosomal RNA, 484 nt
Filed under: uncultured bacterium
Lineage: Bacteria
Description: partial 16S ribosomal RNA
Rfam family: Bacterial small subunit ribosomal RNA
Source: RNAcentral